Molecule: ribosomal RNA, 426 nt
Filed under: uncultured bacterium
Lineage: Bacteria
Description: partial 16S ribosomal RNA
Rfam family: Bacterial small subunit ribosomal RNA
Source: RNAcentral
GUGGGGAAUUUUCCGCAAUGGGCGAAAGCCUGACGGAGCAAUGCCGCGUGAAGGAUGAAGGCCUAUGGGUUGUAAACUUCUUUUCUCAGAAAAGAAUUAUGACGGUAUCUGAGGAAUAAGCAUCGGCUAACUCUGUGCCAGCAGCCGCGGUAAGACAGAGGAUGCAAGCGUUAUCCGGAAUGAUUGGGCGUAAAGCGUCUGUAGGUUGUUUAAAAAGUAUUCUGUCAAAGAUUAGGGCUUAACCCUAGAUAGGCAGAAUAAACUUUUAAGCUAGAGUUUGGUAGAGGCAGAGGGAAUUCCCGGUGGAGCGGUGAAAUGCGUAGAUAUCGGGAGGAACACCAAAGGCGAAGGCACUCUGCUGGGCCAAUACUAACACUGAGAGACGAAAGCGAGGGGAGCAAAUGGGAUUAGAUACCCUAGUAGUCC